This 271-nucleotide unclassified non-coding RNA is filed under the name uncultured fungus. RNAcentral describes it as "partial contains 5.8S ribosomal RNA, internal transcribed spacer 2, and large subunit ribosomal RNA". Lineage: Eukaryota; Fungi. The record is from RNAcentral.
AACGCACAUGGCGCCCCCCGGUAUCCCGGGGGGCAUGCCUGUCCGAGCGUCGUUUCAACCCUCGGGCUCUUAGUAGCCCGGCGUUGGGGACCUACGCGCCGUCGUAGGCCCCGAAAAGCAGUGGCGGACCCGCGCCGGCCCCCCCUUUGCGUAGUAGCAUCAGCCUCGCAUCGGGAGCCCGCGGGACCUCCGGCCUCUAAACCCCACUAAAGCCCGCUCCGGCGGCACCAAGGUUGACCUCGGAUCAGGUAGGAAUACCCGCUGAACUUAA